UGUGGCGCAUGCCACGCUUUUGAAAGAUGGUUUCGGCUAUAGCUUGCAGAUGGGCCCGCGGUGCAUUAGCUAGUUGGUAGGGUAAUGGCCUACCAAGGCAACGAUGCAUAGCCGACCUGAGAGGGGGAUCGGCCACACUGGGACUGAGACACGGCCCAGACUCCUACGGGAGGCAGCAGUAGGGAAUCUUCCGCAAUGGACGAAAGUCUGACGGAGCAACGCCGCGUGUAUGAAGAAGGUUUUCGGAUCGUAA
RNAcentral lists this ribosomal RNA (253 nucleotides) under Listeria monocytogenes. RNAcentral's name for it is "partial 16S ribosomal RNA". It matches the Rfam family "Bacterial small subunit ribosomal RNA", at positions 182 to 428 of the family's 1533-position model. Lineage: Bacteria; Bacillati; Bacillota; Bacilli; Caryophanales; Listeriaceae. The record is from RNAcentral.